GUCCUGGCCAUAAACGAUGAACACUAGGUGUCGGAGGCUUCGACCCCUUCGGCGCCGCCGCUAACGCAUUAAGUGUUCCGCCUGGGGAGUACGGCCGCAAGGUUAAAACUCAAAGGAAUUGACGGGGGCCCGCACAAGCAGUGGAGCAUGUGGUUUAAUUCGAUGCUACGCGAAAAACCUUACCAGGGUUUGACAUCCCGGUGUAACCCCCUAGAAAUAGGGGGCCCCUUCGGGCACCGGUGACAGGUGGUGCAUGGUUGUCGU
RNAcentral lists this ribosomal RNA (264 nucleotides) under uncultured bacterium. Its description in RNAcentral is "partial 16S ribosomal RNA". It matches the Rfam family "Bacterial small subunit ribosomal RNA", at positions 793 to 1055 of the family's 1533-position model. The record is from RNAcentral.